UAAGCAUAUCAAUAAGCGGAGGAAAAGAAACCAACAGGGAUUGCCCCAGUAACGGCGAGUGAAGCGGCAACAGCUCAAAUUUGAAAUCUGGCUUCAAUGCGGGACGUGUUAUUUGUAGAAGAUGCUUUCUGUGAGGCGCCUUCUGAGUUCCCUGGCAGGGGACGCCACAGAGGGAGAGAGCCCCGUAUAGUCGGACGCCGACCCAGUGUAUAUCUCCCUCCACGAGUCAAGUAGUUUGGGAGUGCUUCUCUAAGCGGGAGGUAAAAUCCUUCUAAAGCUAAAUACCGCCCAGAGACCGAUAGCGCACAAGUAGAGUGAUCAAAAGAUGAAAAGCACUUUGAAAAGAGGGUUAAAAAGCACGUGAUAUUGUUGAAAGGGAAGCGCCUGUCACCACACUUGCGCCCGGCGGAUCAUCCGGCGUUCUUCGCCGGUGCACUCCGCCGGCCUCACGCCAGCAUCUGCUCUCCCGGGGGGAUAAAGACGGCGGGAACGUAGCUCUCUUCGGGGAGUGUUAUAGCCCGUCGUGGAAUGCCUCCAGGGGGGCCGAGGACCGCGCGAAAGCAAGGAUGCUGGCGUAAUGGUCACCAGCGACCCGUCUUGAAACACGGACCAAGGAGUCAAGCAUUAGGGUGAGUGUCUGGGUGCAAAACCCGCACGCGUAAUGAAAGUGAACGUAGGUGAGAGCUUCGGCGCAUCCCCGACCGAUCCUGAAGUAUUCUGACGGAUUUGAGUAAGAGCCUUACCGCUUGGACCCGAAAGAUGGUGAACUAUGCUUGUAUAGGGUGAAGCCAGAGGAAACUCUGGUGGAGGCUCGCAGCGGUUCUGACGUGCAAAUCAAUCGUCUAAUAUGAGCGUGGGGGGGAAAGACUAACCAAACCAUUUA
Molecule: ribosomal RNA, 883 nt
Filed under: Guarroa acutispora
Lineage: Eukaryota; Fungi; Ascomycota
Description: LSU rRNA
Rfam family: Eukaryotic large subunit ribosomal RNA
Source: RNAcentral